RNAcentral lists this ribosomal RNA (788 nucleotides) under Enterococcus faecium. Its description in RNAcentral is "bacterial SSU rRNA". It matches the Rfam family "Bacterial small subunit ribosomal RNA", at positions 1 to 758 of the family's 1533-position model. The record is from RNAcentral. Lineage: Bacteria; Bacillati; Bacillota; Bacilli; Lactobacillales; Enterococcaceae.
UNAUUGGANUUCCNNGGUUCUUAAGCAANAUGGCCGCCGAGGGUUCUUAACCCUCAGCAUGUAGAUACGNUUCUUUUUUCCCCGCGUUCGUGNUCCGCGGUAAAAAGAAAGAGUGGCGCACGUGUGAGUAACACGUGGGUAACCUCCCCCUCAGAAGGGGAUAACACUUGGAAACAGGUGAUAACCCCGUAUAACAAUCAAAACCGCAUUGUUUUGAUUUGAAAGGCGCUUUCGGGUGUCGCUGAUGGAUGGACCCGCGGUGCAUUAGCUAGUUGGUGAGGUAACGGCUCACCAAGGCCACGAUGCAUAGCCGACCUGAGAGGGUGAUCGGCCACAUUGGGACUGAGACACGGCCCAAACUCCUACGGGAGGCAGCAGUAGGGAAUCUUCGGCAAUGGACGAAAGUCUGACCGAGCAACGCCGCGUGAGUGAAGAAGGUUUUCGGAUCGUAAAACUCUGUUGUUAGAGAAGAACAAGGAUGAGAGUAACUGUUCAUCCCUUGACGGUAUCUAACCAGAAAGCCACGGCUAACUACGUGCCAGCAGCCGCGGUAAUACGUAGGUGGCAAGCGUUGUCCGGAUUUAUUGGGCGUAAAGCGAGCGCAGGCGGUUUCUUAAGUCUGAUGUGAAAGCCCCCGGCUCAACCGGGGAGGGUCAUUGGAAACUGGGAGACUUGAGUGCAGAAGAGGAGAGUGGAAUUCCAUGUGUAGCGGUGAAAUGCGUAGAUAUAUGGAGGAACACCAGUGGCGAAGGCGGCUNUCUGGUCUGUAACUGACGNGAGNCNNAAAG